Molecule: ribosomal RNA, 499 nt
Filed under: uncultured bacterium
Lineage: Bacteria
Description: partial 16S ribosomal RNA
Rfam family: Bacterial small subunit ribosomal RNA
Source: RNAcentral
AUUGAACGCUGGCGGAAUGCUUUACACAUGCAAGUCGAACGGCAGCACGGACUUCGGUCUGGUGGCGAGUGGCGAACGGGUGAGUAAUGUAUCGGAACGUGCCCAGUCGUGGGGGAUAACGUAGUGAAAAUUACGCUAAUACCGCAUCCGAUCUAUGGAUGAAAGCGGGGAUCGCAAGACCUCGCGCGAUUGGAGCGGCCGAUAUCAGAUUAGGUAGUGGGUGGGGUAAAGGCCCACCAAGCCAACGAUCUGUAGCUGGUCUGAGAGGACGACCAGCCACACUGGAACUGAGACACGGUCCAGACUCCUACGGGAGGCAGCAGUGGGGAAUUUUGGACAAUGGGCGAAAGCCUGAUCCAGCCAUUCCGCGUGCAGGAUGAAGGCCCUCGGGUUGUAAACUGCUUUUGUACAGAACGAAAAGGUUUCUACUAAUACUAGGAGCUCAUGACGGUACUGUAAGAAUAAGCACCGGCUAACUACGUGCCAGCCGCCGCGGUAA